This 1424-nucleotide ribosomal RNA is filed under the name uncultured bacterium. Its description in RNAcentral is "16S ribosomal RNA". It matches the Rfam family "Bacterial small subunit ribosomal RNA". The record is from RNAcentral.
CAUGCAAGUCGAACGGUAACAGGUUCUUCGGAUGCUGACGAGUGGCGAACGGGUGANUAAUACAUCGGAACGUGCCCGAUCGUGGGGGAUAACGCAGCGAAAGCUGUGCUAAUACCGCAUACGAUCUACGGAUGAAAGCGGGGGAUCGCAAGACCUCGCGCGGACGGAGCGGCCGAUGGCAGAUUAGGUAGUUGGUGGGAUAAAAGCUUACCAAGCCGACGAUCUGUAGCUGGUCUGAGAGGACGACCAGCCACACUGGGACUGAGACACGGCCCAGACUCCUACGGGAGGCAGCAGUGGGGAAUUUUGGACAAUGGGCGCAAGCCUGAUCCAGCCAUGCCGCGUGCAGGAUGAAGGCCUUCGGGUUGUAAACUGCUUUUGUACGGAACGAAAAAGCUCUCUCUAAUACAGGGGGUGAAUGACGGUACCGUAAGAAUAAGCACCGGCUAACUACGUGCCAGCAGCCGCGGUAAUACGUAGGGUGCAAGCGUUAAUCGGAAUUACUGGGCGUAAAGCGUGCGCAGGCGGUUAUGUAAGACAGAGGUGAAAUCCCCGGGCUCAACCUGGGAACUGCCUUUGUGACUGCAUAGCUGGAGUGCGGCAGAGGGGGAUGGAAUUCCGCGUGUAGCAGUGAAAUGCGUAGAUAUGCGGAGGAACACCGAUGGCGAAGGCAAUCCCCUGGGCCUGCACUGACGCUCAUGCACGAAAGCGUGGGGAGCAAACAGGAUUAGAUACCCUGGUAGUCCACGCCCUAAACGAUGUCAACUGGUUGUUGGGUCUUCACUGACUCAGUAACGAAGCUAACGCGUGAAGUUGACCGCCUGGGGAGUACGGCCGCAAGGUUAAAACUCAAAGGAAUUGACGGGGACCCGCACAAGCGGUGGAUGAUGUGGUUUAAUUCGAUGCAACGCGAAAAACCUUACCCACCUUUGACAUGUACGGAAUCCUUUAGAGAUAGAGGAGUGCUCGAAAGAGAGCCGUAACACAGGUGCUGCAUGGCUGUCGUCAGCUCGUGACGUGAGAUGUUGGGUUAAGUCCCGCAACGAGCGCAACCCUUGCCAUUAGUUGCUACGAAAGGGCACUCUAAUGGGACUGCCGGUGACAAACCGGAGGAAGGUGGGGAUGACGUCAAGUCCUCAUGGCCCUUAUAGGUGGGGCUACACACGUCAUACAAUGGCUGGUACAAAGGGUUGCCAACCCGCGAGGGGGAGCCAAUCCCACAAAGCCAGUCGUAGUCCGGAUCGCAGUCUGCAACUCGACUGCGUGAAGUCGGAAUCGCUAGUAAUCGUGGAUCAGAAUGUCACGGUGAAUACGUUCCCGGGUCUUGUACACACCGCCCGUCACACCAUGGGAGCGGGUUCUGCCAGAAGUAGGUAGCCUAACCGUAAGGAGGGCGCUUACCACGGCAGGGUUCGUGACUGGGG